Molecule: ribosomal RNA, 269 nt
Filed under: uncultured prokaryote
Description: partial 16S ribosomal RNA
Rfam family: Bacterial small subunit ribosomal RNA
Source: RNAcentral
UACGGAGGAUCCGAGCGUUAUCCGGAUUUAUUGGGUUUAAAGGGUGCGCAGGCGGGAGAUUAAGUCGGCGGUGAAAUUUUGCAGCUCAACUGUAAAAGUGCCUUCGAAACUGGUUUCCUUGAGUGUAGAUGAAGUAGGCGGAAUUUGUGGUGUAGCGGUGAAAUGCAUAGAUAUCACGAGGAACUCCGAUUGCGCAGGCAGCUUACUAAACUACUACUGACGCUCAUGCACGAAGGCGUGGGGAUCAAACAGGAUUAGAUACCCCUGUA